ACCAGCAGCCACCCCAUCCAGGUGACCUUCGUCAUGGACUCGGUCGACAUGGACCAUCAGCUGGCCAGCCACACCUACGGCCCCUCCCUCUGUGUCCUCGUACCCCCCGCCCUACACAUCAGCUCCUACCUCAUAGCCGAAUCCAGUGUUGCUUUCGACUUUUGCUAUGCCAAGGAGAGCUCAGGAAACUUGUUAGGCGUUUUAGUGACGUCAAAACGACCGGUUGGUGUCGUAUCCGGCAAUUGUUGGUCCAUGACCUCCAUGCCGGUACAAGACACAGCGGUCAAGGUCAACCUCAGCCGGAAUGUACUGGCAGAAAUGCUGUUUCCCUUGAAGAAGUUGGGCAUCGAAUACGUCAC
Physella acuta is the source of this 359-nucleotide long non-coding RNA. RefSeq lists it as uncharacterized. The record is from RefSeq and is a predicted model, not a curated record. Lineage: Eukaryota; Metazoa; Mollusca; Gastropoda; Physidae.